UAGAUUAAAGUCCGCCGGUYUGGACAGCUAGCUGUUAAUUAGUUUUUGUGGGAUCAAGGCCCGCUAAUCUAG
RNAcentral lists this transfer RNA (72 nucleotides) under Imantodes cenchoa (blunthead tree snake). RNAcentral's name for it is "tRNA-Asn". It matches the Rfam family "tRNA". From Rfam's summary of the family: Transfer RNA (tRNA) molecules are approximately 80 nucleotides in length. The record is from RNAcentral. Lineage: Eukaryota; Metazoa; Chordata; Lepidosauria; Squamata; Dipsadidae.